RNAcentral lists this long non-coding RNA (3689 nucleotides) under Mus musculus (house mouse). RNAcentral describes it as "RIKEN cDNA 6430706D22 gene (6430706D22Rik)". Lineage: Eukaryota; Metazoa; Chordata; Mammalia; Rodentia; Muridae. The record is from RNAcentral.
AGUGCCCGGAAACACCUUGGAAACUGAUUUAAGAAGGAAGUACUUGACCCAGGUGGAUAUAUUGCCUCAAGAUGAAGGGUAUUUUAAGAACGCAGAGAAGAGAGGUGGAAAAGACACAGUCAUGACUUGGGUUCCUUCCGUGACCUCAUCUGUCACACCAGCCUCUGGAUGCCAGGAUGCUAUCUCUGCAAAGAGCUCUGGUGGUCCUGAAGUAUCUGCUUUGUCCUCUAGAGGACAAAGCAGAUACGGCCAUUGUGGCUAGAAGUGAUGGCCUCUCCUUAACUUGGGACCAGCAGCAACAGCGUAAGCAGCCAGUCCUUUGAGGUUGAUGACCUUUGCAAUGUGACAAUCAGCGAUUUGUAUGAAGGCAUGAUGCAUUCCAUGAGUAGGCUGCUGCGCUCAAAGCCAUCCUGCAUCAUCUCCACCAAGACCUACAUCAACCAGAGCUGGAAGCUCCGGAGGAGACCCUCACGCAAGAGGAGUGCCAGGAAGGGGCCUGCGUCCUGCUCAGAGCCCGGGAAAGAGGCCGGAAUAUUAAGAGACUACGGGAAUUUACUGCAUGUUGCUCCCCACAAGACAGGCUUAGAACUGAAAAGCGUUUCUCUUGAAGGAAGCAAACGCCAAGUCCAUAAAUCCAGUCCAGCUUGGAAGGAGCUCCAGAUGAUGCCGCAGAAGGACUUGGACUUAAACCGUGAGCGAGAAAAUAGGGUGAUGACAUUACAGUGGCUAAUUUCACCCGUCAAGGUGGUUCCCAGACCAAGGAUGCUUCCAAGUCCAGUAGAGAAGUGGUAUAGAGAGAUUAAAAUCAAAUUUGACAAGCUUCAUCAGGAAUAUUGCCUGUCUUCUGGGAAACAGCCUCGCCUGACUGACCCCACAGAGUCUUGGGCUGUCGAUGUGUACAGAAGUGGUGCUAAGAGCCCAGGCAGCCGUCAGGAUGUAGAAACCUGCAGGCCCAGUUCACCUUUCGGCAGAGAAAAGACAGAAAGGCCAGGUGAAGCUUUAGAAGACCUGAGGGGAAAUGGAAAGUCUGUCAAAACAAAGAGCUGUCUUCUAAGGAGCUGUCCCUCUCCAGAGGGCAGCCCGUCACGGAGCCCCAGCCAUUCUCAGCUGAGCUCUGGCCUUCAAGAGCACAAUUCUGAACCUACUGGUAAGGCAGUGUGGCCCAGUACAGCUAUUUCAGCACCAUGCAUAGGCUCUCCAGGCUGUGGGAAGGAUAACUAUGAUGAGCUUAAAAAAGAAUUCAACAGACUUUAUCAGAAGUAUUGUCUGUCACCGCAGCGGGCAAAGGUGACUUCGUGUGGCAGAGUAUCGCCAAUGAAAGCUGCUGCAGCUCUUCCCUGUCAAUCAGAGCACUUGAAGAGACUAAAUCCAGACUCCCCACAACAGAGUUCCCAGAAACGGUCAAUCUCUCCUGGCUGUCACAGAAGAGUCCUGCAGGAUUCAACUCCACAGACUGCUAGUACACUUGUGAGAGACUCUUGGCUGCCAACAAAGAGGCGCAAGUUGUCAUACCCGGUAGCUUGUGCUCACCAGGCCAAGUUUCACGAUACCUCAGGAGCAUCAGGCUGGCCCUGAGUGUCCUGAGUGCUGAUUGCGUGUUUGUCUGUUGGACAUGAUGCUUAUGUGUAGUCAGUAGCUGCUUUGAGGAAGAAGACCUCAGCAGAGACUUUUGUUUCUCCUUUUGGAGGACGGUCCCCAGGGCAUCCUGUGUACUGAGCAGUUUUCCAUUGCAGCUCCCUGUAGCCACUUGGCCUCUGUCCAGCCACCUCCCCUGCUCUGUAUCACAGCAUCAUCUCUGUCCUUUCUUGUGGGAUGUUGGUGCCUUGGGCUUCUCUAGCCAGCCUUGGCCAUUACUGUGUCUCUUUAUCUUAUUCAGGGGAUUCUCAGUGGCAGUUUUCCUCUUAACAUGAAUUACUUACAGUGUCUCUACUCCCCACUCCCCCAUCUUCACCUUCCUCACUUCUGCUUCUGAGUAGGUGAGUGUCCUUCAGGAGAGCACGGUGUUAAAUCCAUGAGUUGAGUCAUGACAGAACGCUGUUCACACCUCUCGGCUUAGUCUUAAGAGCGCUGGUUGUGGGGGUGGGGGAGAUGUUUUAUUUGGUUUUUGAGGCAGUCUUGCAUAGCUUGGGCUGACCUUGGACUCCUUGGAUAGUCAAGGUAACCAUGAGUUCCUGAUCCUCCUUUCCAAAUGCUGAGGCUAGUUUUGUUUUCUGAUUUAUUUCCAUGGAUAAAAACACUUUGUGAACUGUAUUUCCCUGGUUGAACUGGGUCUCUGGCUGCCUGGUGUGGCAGGAAUCCCUGGCAGGGUAUUCCCACCAGCUAUCUCCCUUUGCUCUUGGCCUUGAGCUGUUUGUCUAGCUGCCUCAACCUCGUGAGCCCCCUUGACUUUCCUAGACCAAACUGCUAUCGUGGUGUGCCUUGGUGGCCUGGUCCAGACUCUAUGGAAGUGACUGUGAGAGUGGACUCGUGUCUAGGUCACCUCGGGGUAAUCUGAGAUUCUGAUGAGAAGAAAGGUCGCUGGAGACCUUAGUUCAGAACCUGCAUCCUUUUCCAGCCUGUUUCCCCAGCUGUCCCAAGAAUACAGCUGUGUCCCUUGCCCACCCAUCUGGGCCUGCCUUCAGCUCCAGAGCCAACGAAAUCUUGCUACUUUGUCUUUAAAGCCUGUCUUGCUAUAUAGCCCAAGCUGAUCUUGACCUUGUGGUCCUCCUGCCUCAGCCUUCCUAAGAAGCUGGGGUUAUAUGUGUGCAGCGUGCCCUGCCUUUGAGGUCCCACCUGCCUGGCACUCUACCUGGAGAAAACCUUGCUUUUCCUGCAGCCCGGAGACCUCGCUUGCCCAACCACUAGCAGGGACUUCGACUUUGCAGAGAAUAGAAUCAAGUUGCUGGUUAGUGGCAGUCAUAGUGCCUAGAGCUUCUUCCCUGGUACCCAGGAGUUCCUCACCACUCCCCUGGAAGUUAGUAGCCUAUCCUUAGGGCCUUUACCAGAUGCCUUCUCUAGUUCCAUCUUCAGCCACAUUAAACACUAAAUGGCUUCAUUUUCUGUUUCUUUCUAUGUCAGCUAUAAAUUACUUGGAGAGGGGACCAGGUCUCUACAUUCAGUGACAACAUGAAGGAUAUUAGGAGCUAGUUCUUCCUCCUUUGUGCUAGACCAGUAAAGCUUUUAUGUACCUUGCUCUAUCUAGCUAAGGACCCUUUGGUGAUGUGGGCAGUCUCUCUUAGGAAGACAGUUUGUGUCUGCGGACUCCUCUAAGUUCACUCAAAUUGGGCUGACAUACCCAGGGCAAACUGCCGGGACAGCAGCAACCAUUAUCAUUGCUGCUACCGUAGUGUGCCUUGAGUUCUUUGACAACAGGAGAUUUCCCACAGUGGGCAUAACACAGGUGCCUCGGGGUUUACACUGGGCAGUCAGGAUGAAAAAGUGAUUUUUUGAUAGGAAAAUUUUAAAGUUUAAACAUAUUGUCUUGCCCCUUGCCUCUAGUUCUGCUUUUAGAAGGGGUCUCUGUCCCGAUCACCUUGCUGGCAUCAGAUGCACCUCAAGCAUGCUGUACCACAACUGUCUGCCCUUCAUGCUCCAGGGCAGCUGGUACCGUGGAAAGUGCCUGGGGUGGUUUUGCAAAUAAAGGUAUAUGGUUAGCAUUAAAAAAAAAAAAAAAAAAAAAAAAAAAAAAAAAAAAAAAAAAAAAAAAAAAA